Molecule: ribosomal RNA, 420 nt
Filed under: uncultured bacterium
Lineage: Bacteria
Description: bacterial SSU rRNA
Rfam family: Bacterial small subunit ribosomal RNA
Source: RNAcentral
AAGGAAUAUUGGACAAUGGAGGCAACUCUGAUCCAGCCAUGCCGCGUGAAGGAAUAAGGCCCUAUGGGUUGUAAACUUCUUUUAGACGGGACAAAACCCCUUUACGUGUAAAGGGUUGAUGGUACCGUCAGAAUAAGCAUCGGCUAACUUCGUGCCAGCAGCCGCGGUAAUACGAAGGAUGCAAGCGUUAUCCGGAAUUAUUGGGCUUAAAGGGUGCGUAGGCGGACUAAUAAGUCAGUGGUGAAAGCCUGCAGCUUAACUGCAGAAUUGCCAUUGAUACUGUUAGUCUUGAGUACAGUUGAGGUAGGCGGAAUGGGUCAUGUAGCGGUGAAAUGCUUAGAUAUGACACAGAACACCGAUUGCGAAGGCAGCUUGCUAAGCUGUAACUGACGCUGAGGCACGAAAGCGUGGGGAGCAAAC